UACGUAGGGUGCGAGCGUUGUCCGGAAUUAUUGGGCGUAAAGGGCUCGUAGGCGGCUUGUCGCGUCGGGAGUGAAAACACCGGGCUUAACUCGGUGCUUGCUUUCGAUACGGGCAGACUAGAGGUAUGCAGGGGAGAACGGAAUUCCUGGUGUAGCGGUGAAAUGCGCAGAUAUCAGGAGGAACACCGGUGGCGAAGGCGGGUCUCUGGGCCGAUACUGACGCUGAGGAGCGAAAGCGUGGGGAGCGAACAGG
Molecule: ribosomal RNA, 253 nt
Filed under: uncultured bacterium
Lineage: Bacteria
Description: partial 16S ribosomal RNA
Rfam family: Bacterial small subunit ribosomal RNA
Source: RNAcentral